CUCAUCCCCUUAUUCGAAGCUAAAAGGAUUUGGCAAUAAACAACGGUUUCCAAGAACGCGGCAGUAUUGAAUAACAAAAAUGAGACUAGAAAUGAUACCUUAGGAGUGAGGAUCACAACUGACAUUCAGAAAAGCAAUGUUGAAACAAAGAAUAACUUCACGCAAACUAAUGCAAUUUGUAACGAGGAUAAAGACAAAAGUGUGUACACG
This 210-nucleotide long non-coding RNA is filed under the name Polistes fuscatus (common paper wasp). RNAcentral describes it as "uncharacterized LOC122523430". Lineage: Eukaryota; Metazoa; Arthropoda; Insecta; Hymenoptera; Vespidae. The record is from RNAcentral.